AAAUCAUGAUUUGGGCUCUUCUGCAAAUAAUCCUUGAAUCUCUCCCAUGCUUCAUAUAAUUAUUCCCCGAUUAAUUUCGCUUAAAUUCAUAGAUCUUGUCCCGAAUUU
Molecule: small nucleolar RNA, 108 nt
Organism: Lycium ferocissimum
Lineage: Eukaryota; Viridiplantae; Streptophyta; Magnoliopsida; Solanales; Solanaceae
Source: RefSeq, a predicted model, not a curated record